GUGCUCACUUUGGCAGCACAUAUACUAAAAUUGGAAUGAUACAGAGAAGAUUAGCAUGGCCGCUGCCUAAGGAUGAUAUGCAAAUUCGUGAAGCAUUCUAUAUUAAA
Small nuclear RNA from Bison bison bison, 107 nucleotides. The record is from Ensembl. NCBI's taxonomy places the organism in Eukaryota, Metazoa, Chordata, Mammalia, Artiodactyla, Bovidae.